RNAcentral lists this ribosomal RNA (253 nucleotides) under uncultured bacterium. Its description in RNAcentral is "partial 16S ribosomal RNA". It matches the Rfam family "Bacterial small subunit ribosomal RNA", at positions 524 to 776 of the family's 1533-position model. The record is from RNAcentral.
UACGUAGGUGGCGAGCGUUGUCCGGAAUUACUGGGCGUAAAGGAUGCGUAGGUGGAUACUUAAGUGGGAUGUGAAAUCCCCGGGCUCAACCCGGGAACUGCAUUCCAAACUGGGUAUCUAGAGUGCAGGAGAGGAAAGCGGAAUUCCUAGUGUAGCGGUGAAAUGCGUAGAUAUUAGGAGGAACACCAGUGGCGAAGGCGGCUUUCUGGACUGUAACUGACACUGAGGCAUGAAAGCGUGGGUAGCAAACAGG